AUUGCCAACUGCUCUAUCGCGGUUCCGGUGGGGAAACCUGCCGGAAAUGAGGAAAGUCCGGACAACGUAGAGCACCACACCAUCUAACGGAUGGGCUUUGCUUCGGCAAAGACAGAAAGUGUCGCAGAAAAUAACCGCCCCUUAGGGGUAAGGGUGAAAACGUGCGGUAAGAGCGCACGCUUCUUCCUGGCAACAGGAGGAGGGGAUAAACCUUGUGGGUUGAAAU
Molecule: RNase P RNA, 226 nt
Filed under: Phaeodactylibacter sp.
Lineage: Bacteria; Pseudomonadati; Bacteroidota; Saprospiria; Saprospirales; Haliscomenobacteraceae
Description: partial RNase P RNA component class A
Rfam family: Bacterial RNase P class A
About the family: Ribonuclease P (RNase P) is a ubiquitous endoribonuclease, found in archaea, bacteria and eukarya as well as chloroplasts and mitochondria. Its best characterised activity is the generation of mature 5'-ends of tRNAs by cleaving the 5'-leader elements of precursor-tRNAs. Cellular RNase Ps are ribonucleoproteins.
Source: RNAcentral